CUAACUUUAGUUUAAUUAAGAAUGAAGAUUUUGGGGAUCUUUGGUCUUUGUAAAAGAAGUUUGG
This 64-nucleotide transfer RNA is filed under the name Cloacotaenia megalops. RNAcentral describes it as "tRNA-Pro". Lineage: Eukaryota; Metazoa; Platyhelminthes; Cestoda; Cyclophyllidea; Hymenolepididae. The record is from RNAcentral.